RNAcentral lists this non-coding RNA (5678 nucleotides) under Pan troglodytes (chimpanzee). Lineage: Eukaryota; Metazoa; Chordata; Mammalia; Primates; Hominidae. The record is from RNAcentral.
GAAGACGCGGCCUGGCCCUGGCCGUUCGGCCCUUCGUCUGAGCGCAAAGGCUCCAGCACCUCCGCGGCCGAAGCCGCGGGACUUUUCGUGGAAAAUGGGACCCAGCCCGAUCGCCAGCGGCGCUGCAGGUUCUCCGGGAACCUAGCUUCUGCUCCAGGACCUCCAGGGCCACCCCAGCUCGCAGGGCGUUCGCAGCGGCUCAGGGCGAAUCACGCUCAUGGUCCCCGUGCGCAUUUUCAGCCCCAGCCGGUCUUUCCAGAGACACAUAGAAGGUGCCAUCUAUGAGGAACAGGCCUUCACCAGACAUCAAAUCUGUUGGCAUCUUGAUCUUUGACUUCUCCACCGCCAGAACUAGAUCAAGACAUGAAAUCCAUGUUCAAGAUACUUUCCAGUGUGUCUUCAUGUGAUCCUCUGAGUCCAGCCAUCAGGCUACCAGCAGCUCUUGGAAACCCUGACAUACUUAUUCUUAGAAGACUGCUUUCCGGACUCAAAGUGGAACCUCAAAUUUUCAAUUUUCUUUGUUUUUAAAGCCUACACAUAGGUGAUGAUAUAUACAUGCAUAUAUAUUUUGGAGAAUUCAUAAUUCUGAAAACAAUGCUGGUCUUCCAGAACCCACCCAUUCCCCUUUCCCCGUGUGUGCUCCGAGCUGUGGUGGCACGUGAAAAGGGGUCCUUCCAGCAGUGGCCCACAGCCCUGGGCUCCAUACUUGCUCACUUCAUUUACAAGAGCAAGAAAUACACAUUCUUGUGUUGUUUAAGUCAUUAUGAUGUGGGGAUUUGCAUUACUCACACACCUGAUCUAGUAGUAACACAGUAGCCUAUUUUAGCAAUAUCAUUUAUUCAAUAAUCCAUUCUUUCCCCAUUGGUUUUGAGCCUUCAUUUAUUGUGCACUAAGUUCUGGUUAUUUUUAGUGGUUGUAAUCUCCUUUCCUACUCUCUUAAUCAUGGGGUUGCCAACAUCUGCUCUGUGUUUCUGUGCCAUCUAUAGCCUCUGGCCUUGGUACUGCUUCAAAACUGAUAUUUCUAACCUUACUUUGACUUCUCCAUUCAGUGAAGUUCCCAUAGUUCAUCACUCAACUGCUCUCUUUCCAUCGUGACCUUCUGAACUAGCUCACACCCAGAUAUACUUUUGUUAUCUGCCUUUCCCCCUCAUAAACAUGGGCUGCUGCUGGGGAAAAUCCACUACAGAACUCUUGCAGGUCUCUGCAAAUGUUUAAUGCCCUGUCUUAGCCAUGACCUCCACAAUGCUGGGCUAUCCUAUGUUAUGUCCCCUAAGAUAUCCCUUCUCUCUUGCCUUUGGGGAUAGUCCUAAGCUUCCAUCAUGGCACUCAAAGUCCAACCUUAUUUGUACCUUCAUUCUCUGAGCAGACACCACCGUAUUCUGUUUCACAGAGAAAAUGUGACUGCUGGGGAUAAUUCUUUCAACUUCCUGGCCCCUUCCUAUACAUGAUCUUUCUCUGUAUUCUUGCCUAUUGCUCUUCCAUGUUGAUAGAAGUGUCUGUUCUCCUUGUCAGUGUCUCGGCCUUGGAUCUGUCCCCUAGUCUAUUCUGCCUGUGUAAGGACCUUCCCUGACCAGCUGGGCCACCAUCUCCUGCUUCUCCAAUCCCUCACUCUAGACUGACUCUUAACCUUUGGUCAACAAUACUUGAGCUUUUACAUUCAUAAUGGAGCAUCUGGGUUGAACCUUGUUCUUUUCUAGACACUACCCUCCGUUCUGUCUUCCAUCCAUGGUGACUUUUCUAGAAAGAGCAUCUAUCACACUGGAGACAGCAAACUCCUUGAUCCAUUCUAAUUCCUAACCCUGCAAUAAUUUUCUGUCUCCCUUACUCAAGUAAUUGGGAGUGCUCCUAGUGUUACCAGAGACCCAACAGUUCCCAAUUUCGAACUUUUCCGUGUUCACAUUUCUUGACUUGCUAUGAUUUUACAUCACAGAUUACAUCCUUCAUUUGAAGAGACUCUAAUGGAAGGUUGCCAUGGAAACUCUCUCAUGUGGCUGACCUCCUACCUCACUUGCUCUUUCUGAAUGAAGUUCCCACUUUUGCCUGCCUUAAUGAAAGUAAUGCUCCCCAAACUCAAGCCCAGGGCUGCGAAUUGGAAGCAUCUGGGGCUAUUGUUUCUGGGUGCUGGUGUGAAUGGCAGGAUGUGAACACAAGCCUAUGAUGGGCAAAAAGAUGGACACACAGGCAGAGCCUGACAGGUGCUGGUGGUCCUAUCUGGUCCUGAGUUGCUGGGACCCUCCUUGCCCACUGCCCCUAGAAUGGACUUUGGCCUCAGGUUUGAAGUGUUCAGAUGUGACUGAGAUGAGCCUUUUCCCCAUGCCUCAGGAAUAGCAAAGAAACUCUAUCUGGAAGGUUCCCCAGGGUUCCCCACCCAGCAGCCUCUGGUAUUAGACCAGGCAGUGGCUGGCCAGGAUGGUGGGGACAGAAGGGAGACAAAAGUGAGCAGUGGGUGGGGUCACAUCCUCCCUGACAUUGAAUAGACAACAUGGGGAGGAAGGAUGAGUGAUCUUUAGAACGUUCAUGGAAAAUGCAUAUUGGGAAAAAGAAUGCAUGAAUUUAGAAUUAUUUUGCAACAAAAUAAACUUGUACUAACUUGUGAAAACAUGUCUGAAGAGGAUCUAGUUUGAGGCCCUAAGAAGUAGAAGGCAACAGUUUGAACAGAGCUCCUAUCAGACACAUGAAUUCUGCUAAAAUUGAAACCAGAACAAACAUGCAAUCGAUGGUGAAGCUUGGCUGGAAACGUGGUGAAAUCAUUGAUGAUUUAUUGAAAGUUUAUAGGGACAAUGCCUCGAAGAAAUCAGCAAUUUAAGUAAGCGGAUAACUCAUUGGAAGAAGAGAAGAGAUGAUGUUGGAGAGGAAGUCCACAGCAGCAGACCAGCCACAUCAGUCUGUGAGGAAACAAUUCAUCUUGUUCGUGCCCUAAUUUAAGAGGACUGAUUAAUAGCAGCAGAAACAAUAGCCAACGCUGUAGGUAUCCCAAGGUGUUCAGCUUACACAAUUCUGACUGAAAUUAAAGUUGAGUAAACUGUCCACUCGGUGGGUGCCAAAACUUUCUCCCAGCUCAGCUGCAGAUAAGAGAAAAGCGUUCUAUGGCCAUUUUAAACAAGCGGAAUCAAGAUCCUGAAGCAUUUCUUCAAAUAAUUAUAGCCGGAGAUGAAAUGUGGCUUAACCAGUACACUCCUGAAGGCAAAGCUCAAGCAAAGCAAUGACUACCUAGAGGUGGGCGUGGUCCCAUCAGAGUAAAAGCAGACAUGUCAAGGGCAAAGGUCGUGGCAACCGUUUUGUGGAUGCUCAAGGCAUCUUGCCUAUUGACUUUCUGGAGGGCCAAAGAACAGUAACAUCUUAUUAUGAGAGUGUACAGAGAAAGUCAGCCAAGGAUUUAGCAGGAAAACACCCAGGAAAUCGUCACCCCGGAAAGCUUCACCAGAGAGCCCUUCUCCACCAUGACAAUGCUCCUGCUCAUUCCUCUCAUCAAACAAGGCCAGUUUUGUGAGAGUUUCAAUGGGAAAUCACUAGGCAUACACCUUCCAGGCCUGAUUUGGUUACUUCUGUUUUAUAAUUUUAAAAAAUCUUUAAAGGGCACCCACUUUUCUUCAGUUAAUAACGUCACAAAGACUGAAGUGGCAUGGUUAAAUUCCCAGGGUGCCCAAUUCUUUAGGGAUGAACUGAAUGGCUGGUACCAUCACUUGCAAAAGCGUCUCGACCUCGAUGGAGCUCAUGCUGAGAAAUAAAACAUUUUUAAAUUUUUAUCUUUUAAUUCAAUUUUUUCGUGAACUUUUGAAGUCCCCUUGUAUUUGUUUUCGGUGGAACUUUGAGUCUGAUAUCUCAGCUCCCCAUGGAUGGCUGCAUCUUAAUAGAGAAAUGAACGCCAUUUACCCUGAUGCUCUCUACUUGGCCUAAGUUUCAGAUGUUGAACACACACGUGUGGGAAUUUAUGAAUCUGUGCACCUGUGCCAGCUGGUGGGUGAAGUCUAAGUUUCUUCAACACAAUUAGUUAUCUUCUGCCUCCUGGAAUCUGGUAGGAAAGGUUGAGGAAAAGCAGCCAUCCACAGUGCCUCCACCACUGGAAUGGGGGCAGCCCUAACGUGUGCCCCACUGCCCCCCAUGCUGAGGAGUCCUUCACUCCAGGGAUGUCUUCACCCCAAUCAUUCAGACUCCCCCAGUGUUCCUGCAUCACCUGAAAGGUCGGAAGCAUCUCAGCACAUACUCUCCAUGAGUGGUACUUAGGCCUCCCUCCCCAUCAAUACUGAAGCCCUCAGAGGCAGAGGGGAGUCAAGGAAAAGAGUGGCCAUCAGCAAUAAAUGAGUUACAAGGUUGGAUUUCAAAGAGAAAAACUUGUCACCAAAAUCACUACUCAGGAGAUCUGGACUUCCUCUGAAUGUGAGUUAAAGAACCCUUGAGGGUUAAGAGCCAACUGCACCUGAUCCCCACUCUCCCAUCCCAAGACCCUGGGAAGUCAAACCAAGAGGUAAUCAACAGAAAACAAGUUUAAUGCAACAGGUGACAACGGUCUGGAGCGAGUCCAUGCUCCAGAAGGCUCAGUCCGUGGCAGUCCCGUGGCUCAAGACAGGCUGAGGCCGGCUGCAAUGGAGGCCAGCAGCAGGAGGAUGGCCAUCCACAGCCCACCACAGCUCUCACCCAUGCUCCCAGCAUAUUCUUUGAACACUGAUGAGUUGAUAGGUGGCCCCUCUAAAUUGCAGUAGCGAAUUUUACAACACUUGAGGUAAAAGAAGGGCAUGGGCUCUUCCAGGAGAAACCACUUCUCCUCUGGCUUGGGUCUCUCAGUCGCUGCACAACCAGCGGAGCACUGCUUCGAAAUCACGAAAAAACGUGGAAAUAUUUCUAAUAGGAAAUAAAGACCGAGAGAAGGCAAUCACGCAAUUCCAAUGCCUGACACCGAGGCCCUUCUGUCUGGGUCAAAGCCUCACCCCUGGCGGCCCUGCUCAAAGGUACACACUCAAUUGGGGCACCAAGGGGGAGUCGGGAGGACGAGGGCCAGGCCUGUGUGUUGAAUGCUGCUUCAGGGAAGGGCUGGCUUCUGCGUGGUAUGGCCUGUCCAUAUGCACUGGGAAUGUGGGUCUAGGGGUUGCUGUUUGGGAACAAACAGGUCUCAACUUCUCAAACACAGGGUUGGCUCAGGCCUUUGUGACCACAGACAGACACAUGACUCCCAGCCAUUCUGGCCAUCACCCAGGGUGUGGAGCUGGCCUCUUGGUGGGCCUGGCUCAACUCUGAGCUGGGGGUCUUGUCUCAUGACCACACUUCAUCUUAUACAUCACUGUACAAAUCAUUUUGCCAUAUUAAGUUAUAAAGUCGAUGUGGGCCACACUGAGUCUGAAGCAUCACCUCAGCACCCCACCAACUUCGUGGAUACCGAAGGGCUGGAGAGUGACUGCUGGGCGGAAUCAGAAUUCACGAGCCCUGAAGAUCUCCCUGUGGGCAGAAUGUGCUGGGUGUCCAGAUUCCCCUUGGGGAGGGCUUCAUGUACCCAGAGGUUUUCAGGGGAAUCACAGAUGACAGAGCAGUGGUCUCCACAAUUUUUAAGGCAUGCAUCCUCCUUUGAGAACACACUUGAAGGCUGUACACCUUGGUUUUGUGCAUCUCUUGUAAGAGUGACAUAGACACUGUUCUCUGUGGCGCAUUUAACAUUAUUAAAGCUUAAUUUUUCAUUUAAAAAUGGA